Molecule: ribosomal RNA, 78 nt
Filed under: Streptomyces sp. XY006
Lineage: Bacteria; Bacillati; Actinomycetota; Actinomycetes; Kitasatosporales; Streptomycetaceae
Description: partial 23S ribosomal RNA
Source: RNAcentral
GUUGAUAGGCCGGAUAUGGAAGCCAGGUAACUGGUGGAGUUGACCGGUACUAAUAGGCCGAGGGCUUGUCCUCAGUUG